CCUACGGGUGGCAGCAGUCGAGAAUCAUUCACAAUGGGGGAAACCCUGAUGGUGCGACGCAGCGUGGGGGAAUGAAGGUCUUCGGAUUGUAAACCCCUGUCAUGCGGGAGCAAAUUAAAAAGAUAGUACCACAAGAGGAAGAGACGGCUAACUCUGUGCCAGCAGCCGCGGUAAUACAGAGGUCUCAAGCGUUGUUCGGAAUCACUGGGCGUAAAGCGUGCGUAGGCUGUUUCGUAAGGCGUGUAUGAAAGGGGCGGGCUCAACCCGCGGACUGCACAUGAUACUGGGAGACUAGAGUAAUGGAGAGGGAGGCGGAAUUCUCGGUGUAGCAGUGAAAUGCGUAGAUAUCGAGAGGAACAC
This 360-nucleotide ribosomal RNA is filed under the name uncultured bacterium. RNAcentral's name for it is "partial 16S ribosomal RNA". It matches the Rfam family "Bacterial small subunit ribosomal RNA", at positions 338 to 709 of the family's 1533-position model. The record is from RNAcentral.